UUGACCUCAAAUCAGGUAGGAUUACCCGCUGAACUUAAGCAUAUCAAUAAGCGGAGGAAAAGAAACUAACAAGGAUUCCCCUAGUAACUGCGAGUGAAGCGGGAAAAGCUCAAAUUUGAAAUCUGGCAGUUUUCAACUGUCCGAAUUGUAAUCUAGAGAAGUGUUACCUGUGCGGGACCAUGUACAAGUCUUCUGGAAUGAAGCAUCAUAGAGGGUGAGAAUCCCGUCUUUGACAUGGACUACCUGUACAYUGUGGUAUGCUCUCAAAGAGUCGAGUUGUUUGGGAAUGCAGCUCAAAAUGGGUGGUAAAUGCCAUCUAAAGCUAAAUAUUGGCGAGAGACCGAUAGCGAACAAGUACCGUGAGGGAAAGAUGAAAAGAACUUUGGAAAGAGAGUUAAACAGUACGUGAAAUUGCUGAAAGGGAAACGCUUGAAGUCAGUCACAUUGGCUAGAAAUCAGCCUUGCUUCUGCUUGGUGUACUUUCUGGUUGAUGGGUCAGCAUCAAUUUUGACCACUGGAUAAAGUCUCUGGGAAUGUGGCAUCUUUUUUGGAUGUGUUAUAGCCCAUUGUCGCAUGCAGUGGUUGGGAUUGAGGAACUCAGCACGCCCUGCAAGGGGCCAGGUUUCUACCAUGUUCGUGCUUAGGAUGCUGGCAUAAUGGCUUUAAUCGACCCGUC
Molecule: ribosomal RNA, 676 nt
Filed under: Inocybe cf. rennyi UBC F19259
Lineage: Eukaryota; Fungi; Basidiomycota; Agaricomycetes; Agaricales; Inocybaceae
Description: eukaryotic LSU rRNA
Rfam family: Eukaryotic large subunit ribosomal RNA
Source: RNAcentral